GUGAACUAAAAACUAAAAAUAAAUAAAAGGAAAUUGACACGGGUUGGAAAAUAAACUCUUCUUAUUUAAAAUAACUCAAUAAUUCUUUCAAGGCUAAAAUAAAGAAAUACAAAAUUCUAUCCUCACACUUAAUCCGAUCUCAUCCCGUCUACCCUCUUAGAUUGUUUAGUUCGUGAACCUGCAUAACAAUAGAGGGGUGAGCUUUAACAGCUCAGUAGGGACAUAACCUUAUUACAGUAAAUUGACAAUAUUAAAUUAAGUGUCAUGAAAUCAUAUAGCCAAAUAUCAAAUCAUUAUUGAUAAUAAUGCAUGAAUGCAAUUGAACCUCUUCCGCUACACCCGUUACUUUAUAUAAUAAAACACGCAGACCUGCAUGUCCCAUACCAUGCAUUUUACCCCUGCAGAGGUGUUUCGAAUGUUCUAUUAUACAAAUUAACCCCCCGUAACUCAAUCAUUCCAAUUUCCCCUUUUGUUAGUCAUCUUGCCAAAACUCUUCGUCGCCAGUCCCGAAUUACCCUUAAAGAAUCUGUGCACUGUGGGCUCACCUGAGACCUGGUACCUGCUAAGAGUUUGACUCAACUACACAAAAGAUCAUUUCCAUUACCCUCUUUCCAAAUUCCUUUCUCACCUACAAAGUUCCAACCACUUCUGACACAUGAGUGAUGCACAAGCAACGUUAUUACAUCUUCACAUGUCACAAUAUAUCUCCAUGUCACAAUAUAUAUCUCAACGAAUAACAUUCCAGUAGUACUAACAAGUAAACAACGAACUGAAGCAAUAAUCCAAACAAGGUCCAACCACAUUAAUAAACCAACACAAAUAUAGUACUUCACGAAAUUUAAUAGAAUCAAUAUUUGUAAAGGUCUGCCGUAUUUCCCCUACCUGGACUCCAAAGCAUUGCACCAACUUUCUAUUACAAGAGUGCACCACUAUUGUGAUCAAUUCCUAUUUCACAAGUACAAGCAAAUCACUAAAAUGCAUAACAAAUGUAACCCUAGUUAGACUACUUGGUAUUACUAAUCUAACACCACUUGAUUCAAAAGUCAUUUUGGUCGAUAUGAAAUAACGCAACUGCAAUAGAAGAUGUUUGAAUGUAAAAGGAUUUAGGAAAUAAGUAAUAUAUAUAUAUAUAUAUAUAUAUAUAUAUAUAUAUAUAUAUAUAUAUAUAUAGCUCACUGUAUAAUACAAGUUCCUCAAAACACUUUGGCUUAUAUAAUUGCAUAAAAGCUUUGUCAUAUUAUACAUAUAUACAUAUAUAUUUUCCUGAUCUGUAUCAGUAUGAACUAUUUUACAAAAUAAUACUCCAACCGAGUUGGAAUUGUAAAAGUCGUUUUAUAAGGGUAUUACAAAUAGACCAACACUUUAAAUCAAAACAGGCUUUGCAUUAUCCAGUACAAUAUAGUGAACAAACUGAUCAUACCAUACUUGAAACCAAAAGGCUGUAGUUGUAAAAAUAGGUAUACGUUAUAUAGAAUAGUUUUGCAUCAAAUAGGCAGCAUUAUAUAAAACCCUUGCAUAUAAAACUUGUUUUGCAGUUUCUGCCUAAAAGCAACCAUGAAAGACAAUGAUUUACUACAUAAAAUAGCUAAGCAAAGAACAAAGAGAGCUGCGAAUCAUUACCCUGCUGCAGGCUGACAUCCCAAGCAGGAAGAUGAAUACGAAUAAUUCAGCACCCUUCUCUCUGAUUCUAUUUGAUUUCUUAAUCCCUUCCUUCUAUUUGUCUUCUCUUCUCUCCUCUCUCUCUCUCUCAACAUAUAUAUAUA
Molecule: long non-coding RNA, 1763 nt
Filed under: Malus domestica (apple)
Lineage: Eukaryota; Viridiplantae; Streptophyta; Magnoliopsida; Rosales; Rosaceae
Description: long non-coding RNA (MDOM_LNC007650)
Source: RNAcentral